RNAcentral lists this ribosomal RNA (253 nucleotides) under uncultured bacterium. Its description in RNAcentral is "partial 16S ribosomal RNA". It matches the Rfam family "Bacterial small subunit ribosomal RNA", at positions 524 to 776 of the family's 1533-position model. The record is from RNAcentral.
UACAGAGGUCCCGAGCGUUGUUCGGAUUCACUGGGCGUAAAGGGUGCGUAGGUGGCAUGGUAAGUUUGAUGUGAAAGCUCAGGGCUCAACCCUGAAAUGGCAUUGAAUACUACUGUGCUGGAGGUUUGGAGGGGGGACUGGAAUUCUUGGUGUAGCAGUGAAAUGCGUAGAUAUCAAGAGGAACACCGGUGGCGAAGGCGGGUCUCUGGGCCGAUACUGACGCUGAGGAGCGAAAGCGUGGGGAGCGAACAGG